This 253-nucleotide ribosomal RNA is filed under the name uncultured bacterium. RNAcentral's name for it is "partial 16S ribosomal RNA". It matches the Rfam family "Bacterial small subunit ribosomal RNA", at positions 524 to 776 of the family's 1533-position model. The record is from RNAcentral.
AACGUAGGAGGCGAGCGUUAUCCGGAUUUACUGGGCGUAAAGCGCGUGUAGGCGGUCUAGCAAGUUGGAUGUGAAAUCUCCCGGCUCAACCGGGAGAGGUCGUUCAAUACUGCUAGACUAGGGAGCGGUAGAGGGGGGUGGAAUUCCGGGUGUAGCGGUGAAAUGCGUAGAUAUCCGGAGGAACACCAGUGGCGAAGGCGGCCCCCUGGACCGUCUCUGACGCUCAGACGCGAAAGCUAGGGGAGCAAACGGG